CGAACGGUAAGGCCCUUUCGGGGGUACACGAGUGGCGAACGGGUGAGUAACACGUGGGUGACCUGCCCUGUACUUCGGGAUAAGCCUGGGAAACUGGGUCUAAUACCGGAUAUGACCUUCUCCUGCAUGGGGGUUGGUGGAAAGUUUUUGCGGUACAGGAUGGGCCCGCGGCCUAUCAGCUUGUUGGUGGGGUAAUGGCCUACCAAGGCGACGACGGGUAGCCGGCCUGAGAGGGCGACCGGCCACACUGGGACUGAGACACGGCCCAGACUCCUACGGGAGGCAGCAGUGGGGAAUAUUGCACAAUGGGCGAAAGCCUGAUGCAGCGACGCCGCGUGAGGGAUGACGGCCUUCGGGUUGUAAACCUCUUUCAGUAGGGACGAAGCGCAAGUGACGGUACCUACAGAAGAAGCACCGGCCAACUACGUGCCAGCAGCCGCGGUAAUACGUAGGGUGCGAGCGUUGUCCGGAUUUACUGGGCGUAAAGAGCUCGUAGGCGGUUUGUCACGUCGUCUGUGAAAACCCGAGGCUUAACCUCGGGCCUGCAGGCGAUACGGGCAGACUUGAGUACUGUAGGGGAGACUGGAAUUCCUGGUGUAGCGGUGGAAUGCGCAGAUAUCAGGAGGAACACCGGUGGCGAAGGCGGGUCUCUGGGCAGUAACUGACGCUGAGGAGCGAAAGCGUGGGUAGCGAACAGGAUUAGAUACCCUGGUAGUCCACGCCGUAAACGGUGGGUACUAGGUGUGGGUUUCCUUCCACGGGAUCCGUGCCGUAGCUAACGCAUUAAGUACCCCGCCUGGGGAGUAC
RNAcentral lists this ribosomal RNA (807 nucleotides) under Tsukamurella sp. RNAcentral's name for it is "bacterial SSU rRNA". It matches the Rfam family "Bacterial small subunit ribosomal RNA", at positions 63 to 883 of the family's 1533-position model. Lineage: Bacteria; Bacillati; Actinomycetota; Actinomycetes; Mycobacteriales; Tsukamurellaceae. The record is from RNAcentral.